UAUUGUCACGAUUUCGAAAACGGGAGCCGUUAACAAUGGCAAAGUCGUCAAUGGCGACUAAUUGCGUCCCGGAGGUUUCAACCAACGUAUCGUAGUCACAUCGGAUCAAGGCAGGUCUGUUGUUGAUGAUGAUGACCCCAUCGUCCACGAGGGUGAUGGGCUCCAGGUGGCUGGGUUGAGAGUGACAAUGCGCAGGGCCUCCGGAGUGUAGCCCUUGCGCGCAGGAGCCCUCCGAUUCCCUUCUGCAGAACGGGGUGAUAGUAGCAGUGGUGCAGCCCGUAACGGCCCACACCUGGCUUCCGCACUCAGCCACGACGUUGUCCUUAAGUUGCAGUAUGGUACCGUUGUGCCCAACCGGGAAUAGCGUGACUUUCUUACAAGCUAAAAUUACUCUAGGGUACCCAAUAAUAAAAUGUAUAAUGUUAUUUGAUUGUAAGACCUUGAUACUGGAUACUUCUAGUAGAUUUGAAAUUGUGACUCCUGUGAAUUGUUUAGCGAGGAUGGUUUCUAUGUCAGCAUGGUCAAGUACAGAAGGGCUUACCAAGUUGGCUUUGGCCAAGGUGAUUGUGAGCAUUAAAUUACCUAAUUCUGUGAUAAGAAUUCUAUUUCUGGCUAAUAAUGUUUCGUACAAGUGGGCAGUGUUGAUGUGUUUCCUUUUUUCUAUGCUAAGAAUCUUAUAAGUACCACCACAAUUAUCUUUCUUAAAUCUAACCGGUACAACUAUUUAAGGUUGUCCUUAUGGACCACCCUCCCUCUAAUCAGGACUGUUGUCCCCAAGUCCGCCUCCACCGCUUCUUCCACGUAAAGCGGAGUCAACUUGUUCCCGAGACAUCUGUUAGAUUUUACCAACACCUUUUCCCCUACCCUAAACACUCUGUUUUGUCGUGUCUGGUUAACUCGGUUGUUUUGCAUAAUCUGAGCUUUUUGAACCUUAUUCUGUAUUUCCCUGCAGGCAACUGCGACAGCACAGUGAAAAAUGUCUACUGGCCUUUUAUUGGUGACCGAAUGUAAUGACCUGUUGUACUCUACAGUUCCUGUUUCCCAGGGUGUCUGUCAUACUUUGAUCGGGAGCAGAUCUUACAGUUCAUGACUACCUCGCUUGCCAGUUUAGUCAUUUUGGGAAAAUAGUAAUCGGUCAAAACGGUGUUUUACACUUUCCUGAGCGACUCUAUGAGCUCGAUUGUGUUCUACCGUGAUGAUUUCU
Molecule: long non-coding RNA, 1204 nt
Filed under: Drosophila guanche
Lineage: Eukaryota; Metazoa; Arthropoda; Insecta; Diptera; Drosophilidae
Source: RNAcentral